UUAAAUAGCCGCAGUAUUUUGACUGUGCGAAGGUAGCAUAAUCAUUUGUCUUUUAAUUGAAGGCUUGUAUGAAUGGUCGGAUGAGAGAGCGUCUUUCUUUGUGUUAUUAUAUUGAAUUUAAUUUUUGGGUUAAAAAGCUUAAAUUUUUAAGUGGGACGAGAAGACCCUAUAGAAUUUUAUUUAUGAUAUGGGCUUUAUUAGUUGGGUAAAUUACUCUUGAGGCCUUUUUAUAAAUUUUGUUGGGGUGACAGUGGGAUUUACUAAACUCUCAUAAUUGAUAUUUUAUUGAUUUAUAUAUUAAAGAUCCUUUAUUAAGGAUAAUUAGAUUAAAUUACCUUAGGGAUAACAGCGUAAUUCUUUUGGAGAGUUCUUAUCGAUAAAGGAGUUUGCGACCUCGAUGUUGGAUUAAAAUUAGAUUUAAGUGUAGCAGCUUAAUUUCUAGGUCUGUUCGACCUUUAAUAUUUUACAUGAUCUGAGUUCAAACCG
RNAcentral lists this ribosomal RNA (486 nucleotides) under Eurydema dominulus. RNAcentral describes it as "partial 16S ribosomal RNA". It matches the Rfam family "Archaeal large subunit ribosomal RNA", at positions 2000 to 2687 of the family's 2987-position model. The record is from RNAcentral. Lineage: Eukaryota; Metazoa; Arthropoda; Insecta; Hemiptera; Pentatomidae.